Molecule: ribosomal RNA, 425 nt
Filed under: uncultured bacterium
Lineage: Bacteria
Description: partial 16S ribosomal RNA
Rfam family: Bacterial small subunit ribosomal RNA
Source: RNAcentral
GUUAGGAAUAUUGGACAAUGGGCGCAAGCCUGAUCCAGCCAUGCCGCGUGAGUGAUGAAGGCCUUCGGGUUGUAAAGCUCUUUAGUCCACGAAUAUAAUGACUGUAGUGGAAGAAUAAGCCCCGGCUAACUUCGUGCCAGCAGCCGCGGUAAUACGAAGGGGGCGAGCGUUAUUCGGAAUCACUGGGCGUAAAGCGUGCGUAGGCUGUUUUGUAAGUCAGAAGUGAAAGCCCAGGGCUUAACCCUGGAAUUGCUUUUGAAACUACAAGACGCGAAUUCGUGAGAGGAUAGCGGAAUUGUCAGUGUAGCAGUGAAAUGCGUAGAUAUUGACAGGAACACCAGUGGCGCAAGCGGCUAUCUGGACCGAUAUUGACGCUGAGGCACGAAAGCGUGGGGAGCAAACAGGAUUAGAAACCCCGGUAGUCC